AGACCCAUAGCACAAUUGGUCGUGCGCCUGACUCUUAAUCAGCGAGAUUCCGGUUCAAGUCCGGAUGGGUCUACCA
This 76-nucleotide transfer RNA is filed under the name Flavobacteriaceae bacterium. RNAcentral's name for it is "tRNA-Lys". It matches the Rfam family "tRNA". Rfam says of the family: Transfer RNA (tRNA) molecules are approximately 80 nucleotides in length. Their secondary structure includes four short double-helical elements and three loops (D, anti-codon, and T loops). The record is from RNAcentral. Lineage: Bacteria; Pseudomonadati; Bacteroidota; Flavobacteriia; Flavobacteriales; Flavobacteriaceae.